GUGAAUCAUCAAAUCUUUGAACGCAAAUUGCACUCUCCUCGGAGAGUAUGCGUGUUUGAGGGUCAGACUAUAAAAAAUCGACAUCGUUGCUGUUUCGCGGUGGCGUUCGUCGGAAAUUGGGUCAUCUUAAAUCCUUUUGGUUUUUAAGCGACUUAAAAUUUUCUUUUUGGUACAUGGACGUGUUAAAGAUUUUAUUUUUUAAGUUUUUGAGU
RNAcentral lists this unclassified non-coding RNA (212 nucleotides) under Glomus sp. Its description in RNAcentral is "partial contains 5.8S ribosomal RNA and internal transcribed spacer 2". The stretch from base 1 to 65 matches the Rfam family "5.8S ribosomal RNA", at positions 84 to 154 of the family's 154-position model. Lineage: Eukaryota; Fungi; Glomeromycota; Glomeromycetes; Glomerales; Glomeraceae. The record is from RNAcentral.